GAAACGGUAGCUAAUACCGCAUAACGUCGCAAGACCAAAGUGGGGGACCUUCGGGCCUCACACCAUCGGAUGUGCCCAGAUGGGAUUAGCUAGUAGGUGGGGUAAUGGCUCACCUAGGCGACGAUCCCUAGCUGGUCUGAGAGGAUGACCAGCCACACUGGAACUGAGACACGGUCCAGACUCCUACGGGAGGCAGCAGUGGGGAAUAUUGCACAAUGGGCGCAAGCCUGAUGCAGCCAUGCCGCGUGUAUGAAGAAGGCCUUCGGGUUGUAAAGUACUUUCAGCGGGGAGGAAGGCGGUGAGGUUAAUAACCUUGCCGAUUGACGUUACCCGCAGAAGAAGCACCGGCUAACUCCGUGCCAGCAGCCGCAGUAAUACGGAGGGUGCAAGCGUUAAUCGGAAUUACUGGGCGUAAAGCGCACGCAGGCGGUCUGUUAAGUCAGAUGUGAAAUCCCCGGGCUUAACCUGGGAACUGUAUUUGAAACUGGCAGGCUUGAGUCUCGUAGAGGGGGGUAGAAUUCCAGGUGUAGCGGUGAAAUGCGUAGAGAUCUGGAGGAAUACCGGGUGGCGAARGCGGCCCCCUGGACGAAGACUGACGCUCAGGUGCGAAAGCGUGGGGAAGCAAACAGGAUUAGAUACCCUGGUAGUCCACGCCGUAAACGAUGUCGACUUGGAGGUUGUGCCCUUGAGGCGUGGCUUCCGGAGCU
RNAcentral lists this ribosomal RNA (707 nucleotides) under uncultured bacterium. RNAcentral describes it as "SSU rRNA". It matches the Rfam family "Bacterial small subunit ribosomal RNA", at positions 153 to 853 of the family's 1533-position model. The record is from RNAcentral.